This 677-nucleotide ribosomal RNA is filed under the name uncultured Lachnospiraceae bacterium. RNAcentral describes it as "bacterial SSU rRNA". It matches the Rfam family "Bacterial small subunit ribosomal RNA", at positions 51 to 730 of the family's 1533-position model. Lineage: Bacteria; Bacillati; Bacillota; Clostridia; Lachnospirales; Lachnospiraceae. The record is from RNAcentral.
ACACAUGCAAGUCGAACGAAGCACCUUUUGAGAUUCUUCGGAUGAUCGAUCGGUGACUGAGUGGCGGACGGGUGAGUAACGCGUGGGUAACCUGCCCUGUACAGGGGGAUAACAGCUGGAAACGGCUGCUAAUACCGCAUAAGCGCACGAGGAGACAUCUCCUUGUGUGAAAAACUCCGGUGGUACAGGAUGGGCCCGCGUCUGAUUAGCUGGUUGGCAGGGUAACGGCCUACCAAGGCAACGAUCAGUAGCCGGUCUGAGAGGAUGAACGGCCACAUUGGAACUGAGACACGGUCCAAACUCCUACGGGAGGCAGCAGUGGGGAAUAUUGCACAAUGGGGGAAACCCUGAUGCAGCAACGCCGCGUGAGUGAAGAAGUAUUUCGGUAUGUAAAGCUCUAUCAGCAGGGAAGAUAAUGACGGUACCUGACUAAGAAGCUCCGGCUAAAUACGUGCCAGCAGCCGCGGUAAUACGUAUGGAGCAAGCGUUAUCCGGAUUUACUGGGUGUAAAGGGUGCGUAGGUGGCAGUGCAAGUCAGAUGUGAAAGGCCGGGGCUCAACCCCGGAGCUGCAUUUGAAACUGCUCGGCUAGAGUACAGGAGAGGCAGGCGGAAUUCCUAGUGUAGCGGUGAAAUGCGUAGAUAUUAGGAGGAACACCAGUGGCGAAGGCGGCCUGCU